UCUCCGUUGGUGAACCAGCGGAGGGAUCAUUACCGAGUUUACAAACUCCCAAACCCUUUGUGAACCUUACCUAUCGUUGCUUCGGCGGGAUCGCCCCGGCGCCUUCGGGCCCGGAACCAGGCGCCCGCCGGAGGCCCCAAACUCUUGUGUUUUUUUCAGUAUUCUCUGAGUGGCAAACGCAAAAAUAAAUCAAAACUUUUAACAACGGAUCUCUUGGCUCUG
This 222-nucleotide unclassified non-coding RNA is filed under the name root metagenome. RNAcentral's name for it is "partial contains small subunit ribosomal RNA, internal transcribed spacer 1, and 5.8S ribosomal RNA". The record is from RNAcentral.